Molecule: transfer RNA, 71 nt
Filed under: Marmota monax (woodchuck)
Lineage: Eukaryota; Metazoa; Chordata; Mammalia; Rodentia; Sciuridae
Description: tRNA.Ala
Source: RNAcentral
GUGGUUGUAGCUCAGUGAUAGAGUGCUUGCCUAGCAUGAGUGAGGCACUGGGAUUGAUUCUCAGCACCACA